AUUGAACGCUGGCGGCAGGCCUAACACAUGCAAGUCGAGCGGAUGAAGGGAGCUUGCUCCUGGAUUCAGCGGCGGACGGGUGAGUAAUGCCUAGGAAUCUGCCUGGUAGUGGGGGAUAACGUCCGGAAACGGGCGCUAAUACCGCAUACGUCCUGAGGGAGAAAGUGGGGGAUCUUCGGACCUCACGCUAUCAGAUGAGCCUAGGUCGGAUUAGCUAGUUGGUGGGGUAAAGGCCUACCAAGGCGACGAUCCGUAACUGGUCUGAGAGGAUGAUCAGUCACACUGGAACUGAGACACGGUCCAGACUCCUACGGGAGGCAGCAGUGGGGAAUAUUGGACAAUGGGCGAAAGCCUGAUCCAGCCAUGCCGCGUGUGUGAAGAAGGUCUUCGGAUUGUAAAGCACUUUAAGUUGGGAGGAAGGGCAGUAAGUUAAUACCUUGCUGUUUUGACGUUACCAACAGAAUAAGCGCCGACUAACUUCGUG
Molecule: ribosomal RNA, 484 nt
Filed under: uncultured bacterium
Lineage: Bacteria
Description: partial 16S ribosomal RNA
Rfam family: Bacterial small subunit ribosomal RNA
Source: RNAcentral